CUUUUAGGUUGGAGACUACAUAAGACUUUGACAGUUGGCGGGAAACCAUCAUCAACUGGAGAGAUGCCGGUAGAGGAAUGUCUGCGACUAAGUCAUGGGCCACUGGAUAAGGGUUGUUGAUGGCAAAACAGGUUGGAGACUACAUAAGACUUUGACAGUUGGCGGGAAACCAUCAUCAACUGGAGAGAUGCCGGUAGAGGAAUGUCUGCGACUAAGUCAUGGGCCACUGGAUAAGGGUUGUUGAUGGCAAAACAGGUUGGAGACUACAUAAGACUUUGACAGUUGGCGGGAAACCAUCAUCAACUGGAGAGAUGCUGGUAAAAAGAUGGCCAAAAAACAGUGACCGCUGAUUCGCAUUGAGUUCUUUCUUACAUAUUGGAUGACCUAUGUUUUUUUUUGUUUAAAUCAUUGCGGCUUGGAAUGCUCUUUAAGAAAAGGUAGAGGAAUGUCUGCGACUAAGUCAUGGGCCACUGGAUAAGGGUUGUUGAUGGCAAAACAGGUUGGAGACUACAUAAGACUUUGACAGUUGGCGGGAAACCAUCAUCAACUGGAGAGAUGCCGGUAAAAAGAUGGCCAUAAAACAGUGACCGCUGA
Long non-coding RNA from Dreissena polymorpha, 594 nucleotides. RefSeq lists it as uncharacterized. The transcript is spliced from 7 exons. The record is from RefSeq and is a predicted model, not a curated record. NCBI's taxonomy places the organism in Eukaryota, Metazoa, Mollusca, Bivalvia, Myida, Dreissenidae.